This 496-nucleotide ribosomal RNA is filed under the name uncultured bacterium. Its description in RNAcentral is "partial 16S ribosomal RNA". It matches the Rfam family "Bacterial small subunit ribosomal RNA", at positions 28 to 507 of the family's 1533-position model. The record is from RNAcentral.
GAUGAACGCUGGCGGCGUGCCUAAUACAUGCAAGUCGAGCGAACAGACGAGGCGCUUGCUCCUCUGACGUUAGCGGCGGACGGGUGAGUAACACGUGUAAACCCCCCUUUAAGUAGGGGGAAAAUUCGGGAAAUCGGGCUAAAAUCCGGAAGAAACUCUUGAUCCACUGGGUCAAUUGGGAAAUUUCGGUUUUUGGGGACUUAUUCGCGGAUUCGCGCCGUAUUGGCUGGAUGGUGAGGUAACGGGUUUCCAAGGCAAAGACGGGUAGACGAGCUGAGAGGGUGGUCGGCCACACUGGAACUUAGACACGGUCCAGACUCCUGCGGGAGGCAGCAGUAGGGAAUCUUACGCAAUGGGCGAAAGCUUGACGGAGCAACGCCGCGUGAGUGAUGAAGGUCUUCGGAGCGUAAAACUCUGUUAUGAGUGAAGAACAAAUGUGUAAGUAACUAUGCACGUCUUGACGGUACCUAAUCAGAAAGCCACGGCUAACUACGUG